Molecule: long non-coding RNA, 1083 nt
Organism: Passer domesticus (house sparrow)
Lineage: Eukaryota; Metazoa; Chordata; Aves; Passeriformes; Passeridae
Exons: 2
Source: RefSeq, a predicted model, not a curated record
UUCGUGAGGGAGGGGCGGGACAGGGUGCCUGUGUCUGUGUAUAUAAUUAUUUAUUUAUUUAUUUAUUUAUUUGUAUUUAUAUUUAUAUUUAUAUUUAUAUUUAUAUUUAUAUUUAUAUUUAUAUUUGUGUUUAUGUCCGCGCGCACGGCGCGUUUCAAACGGCGCUGGCGGCUCCCGGCUCCACAGACUCACAGCCUGUCUGCGUUCAGUCACGGGCUGCACUCUCAGAGGUUUUUUUCCAACCUGACAAUGUGAUUUUGUGAAGCAAUGCCCAGAGGAUGGAUCCGGCUCUGCUCGGUGGUGCCCAGCAGCAGGAGAUGAGGCCAAGGGCAGAAACUGAUGCACAAAAAGCUCCACUGAACAUGAGGAAGAACUCCUUUGCUGUUUACUUCUUCUACUUUAAUUCUUUACAUUUUUACUGCACUGUCCCAGUGCAGGUGACCGUGCCCUGGAACAGACUGCCCAGAGCGGAGUCUCCCUCACUGGAGAUGUUCCAGAACCAUCUGAACACAGUUCUGUGCCGGGUGCUCUGGGGUGACCCUGGCUGAGCAGGGAGGCUGGACCAGACUGACCCUUCCAUUCUGGGAUUCUGUGAGGGGAAAUGCAAAAAGGGAUGCCUGUGCUGCAGGAAAAAUUGAAAAAACAACAAUUUUAAGAAACAUUAUUUUAAUGCGUGAGUUUGUGUGCUCAAGGUGAGAUGACAAAAUAUUUUCCCCCAUGUGUGUUUAAGUUGUAGUCUCAAAAGUUGUAACUCUGCCACACAAUUCCUUUGAGGUCAGAUUCCUCUCCAUGCAUGUAGCACCUGGACAGGCCCUGCACUGGGUGAAUGCAUUGGAGCAUCCUUUGUGUUCUAUUCAAGUACGUUGUCUUCUGAGUGCCAUGGUGAGAGCAAACUAUAGGGCAGCAAAGUUAUUAUUCUGUUUUUUAAUGUGGACUUUAUCCAUGCUUUAAAUUGCUGUACAUUUCUUUUUCUUGAGCCUUAUUUAAAAAGUGGAGGCAUUAAUUUAUAGAUCACCAAAGUGAAGUUAGAGAGUUUCCACUCCUGAAAUGCAUGCUUCCCAAAUAAAGUCAAUUAAAAGGCUA